RNAcentral lists this ribosomal RNA (409 nucleotides) under uncultured rape rhizosphere bacterium wr0061. Its description in RNAcentral is "bacterial SSU rRNA". It matches the Rfam family "Bacterial small subunit ribosomal RNA", at positions 27 to 478 of the family's 1533-position model. The record is from RNAcentral.
GGACGAACGCUGGCGGUGUGCUUCACACAUGCAAGUCGAACGAGGUAGCAAUACCUAGUGGCGGACGGGUGAGUAACGCGUGGGAAUCUGCCUUUAGAUGGGGGAUAACGGGCCGAAAGGUCCGCUAAUACCGCAUAUGCCGCAAGGUGAAAGGAGUAAUCCGNCUAAAGAUGAGCCCGCGUCCGAUUAGCUAGUUGGUAGAGUAAGAGCCUACCAAGGCGACGAUCGGUAGCUGGUCUGAGAGGAUGAUCAGCCACAAUGGGACUGAGACACGGCCCAUACUCCUACGGGAGGCAGCAGUGGGGAAUUUUACGCAAUGGGGGAAACCCUGACGUAGCGACACCGCGUGAGCGAAGAAGCCCUUUGGGGUGUAAAGCUCUGUCAGCUGGAACGAAAACAAUGACGGUAC